GCUCCCUUUGCUGAGUCACAGCCCCCUUGGAGCUGGAGCUGUGACUAGCCGGGAGACGCCGCGCGGCUGGAGUUGAAGCAAAGGGACCUCCUUCCCGUCUGAGAUCAUGCUGGAGGGCUCACACUUGAUUCCAUGAGACUUUGGACCUCCAUCCCCCACCAGGACUGCCCUCCACAAGCAGAUGUUUGUGGGAGAGGAAUGGUGUGAAUCCCCAGCGCUGUCGCCUUCGCUGCCCUGAACUGUUAAGCCUCUCUACUCAUCCUUGGACAGGGAAUAGUGCUGCUCCAUUCUGGUUUUGA
Molecule: long non-coding RNA, 299 nt
Filed under: Athene cunicularia (burrowing owl)
Lineage: Eukaryota; Metazoa; Chordata; Aves; Strigiformes; Strigidae
Description: lncRNA (ENSACUG00000011761.1)
Source: RNAcentral